GAUGAACGCUGGCGGCGUGCCUAAUACAUGCAAGUCGAGCGAACGGACGAGAAGCUUGCUUCUCUGAUGUUAGCGGCGGACGGGUGAGUAACACGUGGAUAACCUACCUAUAAGACUGUGAUAACUUCGGGAAACCGGAGCUAAUACCGGAUAAUAUCUUGAACCGCAUGGUUCAAAAGUGAAAGACGGUCUUGCUGUCACUUAUAGAUGGAUCCGCGCUGCAUUAGCUAGUUGGUAAGGUAACGGCUUACCAAGGCAACGAUGCAUAGCCGACCUGAGAGGGUGAUCGGCCACACUGGAACUGAGACACGGUCCAGGCUCCUAAGGGAGGCAGCAGUAGGGAAUCUUCCGCAAUGGGCGAAAGCCUGACGGAGCAACGCCGCGUGAGAGAUGAAGGUCUUCGGAUCGUAAAACUCUGUUAUGAGGGAAGAACAGAUGUGUAAGUAACUGUGCACAGCUUGACGGUACCUAAUCAGAAAGCCACGGCUAACUACGUG
This 497-nucleotide ribosomal RNA is filed under the name uncultured bacterium. Its description in RNAcentral is "partial 16S ribosomal RNA". It matches the Rfam family "Bacterial small subunit ribosomal RNA", at positions 28 to 507 of the family's 1533-position model. The record is from RNAcentral.